UGUGUUGAUGUAACGGGACCCCAAAAGCUUGAUAUUUCAUCAGCCAUUCUUCAGUAUGCUAGGCCCAAAAUAUAACUGCUCUGCAGAAGAAAUUGUCAGGAUGUUGCUGAUCUGAAAUUCUACAAAUGAUUUUAAGCGGCAACUAACUUGAAUGUAUUUAGACUUAGUCCUGAGCUUCCAAAAGGAAUAAAACUAGACAUCCAUUUGUAGAUCCAGAGUAUUAGAUGGUUCAAAAAAACACAAAUUAUGUAGAAGUGCUUAGAGGAGUGUAUACUUCCCGAGGUGGGUAGAAGAGGGAACACGUCACCAGUGCAACGAAAUUAAGCACAAGUAGUCGUGCAGUUCUACCUUUCACCAUCAUGCUUCUAAUCUAAUUGAUUCACGAAUAAAUUCAUGGAUGAUAAAUUACUUCUAUAAUCAGCUUUUAAUGAAAAAGUGAGAUCAUGUUUCACUGCAUGCAUGCAUGCUACAUUACCAGGCAGAUACAACAGAUACCAAGUCAGCUAUUAAAUACUAACCUUUAAGAGAUCAACUAAAAAUAAAGCCAGCCAUUUGCACGUGAAACAAAGAUCUAGACCAGAUUAAAUGGAAGCAGGUCUUCGCUGAUAUUAGCAUCAUAUUAUCUUAAUCAAAAUAUUUGGAAUGUCUACACCCGUCACAGAAAUCAGAAAUGUAACGCAGUAUAAUGACUUGAAUGUGGAGUGUGAACUCUACAGUGUGAAGCUAGCAUGAUUCAGUUUUGUAACUUCAACCUAUGUACAAAUAACUAUAAAUUUUCUCCUCUCUUUCCUUUUUCUUAAGGCGUUGCAGUUUGGGGAACCCAAACUUUUGUAGCUGAUUUGUUGGUUUUGGACAAAUCUGAAGAAAAUUUUCCUUUGAAAAUUGAAAUGAUGACUACAAGCUUCUGCACACUGUCUGACUGUUCUUUUACAGCAACAUAAGGGCCCCCCAUUGGAAACUCUCGAAUGUGCAAUUCUUGUGAAUAUUUUGAGAUGGAAGUGUAUAAAUCACAAAAUGAGCAAAGUUUAAAGUUCCACAUUUUUUCUUUCCUCAGACACUAAAUUUCCAUACGGCCAAAAUUAGUUCAACAAUAUCCUAAUCCACAGUCACCACAGGCAAUGUGUGGUUCAAAAAAAAAAAAUUAUAUAUAUCUAAAAUAAAAUAAAAAAAUUGCAGCCUCCCUGCACAUAUACCAGAAAUUACAUGAAAAUCCACUAAGACCCGAAUGCUUUCUGCGUCCUAACCCAAUCGAAUUUCAAAUUUUCUUCCAUGAAACUUCAAAAAAAUUAUUGCACCGCAACAACCCCCAUCCCCUCCCCACUCCCACAAAAAAAACCUAAAAAUUCACUAAUUAAAAUGGAAUUAAUAAAUAAGAUGAAAUCACACAAAGGUAUCGAUGUAUGUAAUCAGUGCUAUUUACCUUUGCAAGUCAGAUCUGAUUAAUGCCCAAUUCAACGCACAAACCUUUUCACUUUUAUUCGAUUUGUGUGUGCGGGCGGGCGGGCCGGCGUGAUUAUAUAUAAUAACUAUAUAUAUACGCAAUUGAAAAUUUAUAGCCUACACUUUUCGAUCUCAUAGUGAUAUAAAUAAUUUGUACUUUUGUGUUUGAGUUUUAUUAGGGUUCCAAAUGCAUAAACUGAAUCAGAUUUCUUUUCUAUUUUUUACAGCAUGGAAUUUUUCGGCGCGUGAAUAAGUAGGAAAGUGUAUGUCGCGUGUUUUCACUUUUCACGCUCCACUUUCAUCUCAAU
Molecule: long non-coding RNA, 1748 nt
Filed under: Olea europaea subsp. europaea
Lineage: Eukaryota; Viridiplantae; Streptophyta; Magnoliopsida; Lamiales; Oleaceae
Source: RNAcentral